This 447-nucleotide long non-coding RNA is filed under the name Selaginella moellendorffii. RNAcentral's name for it is "long non-coding RNA (SMOE_LNC001979)". The record is from RNAcentral. Lineage: Eukaryota; Viridiplantae; Streptophyta; Lycopodiopsida; Selaginellales; Selaginellaceae.
UGCCAAAGUAAACCUAGUUUGUCCAGGAGACAGUGAUUCAUCAUUUACAAAUAGAAGAGGAUACUUUAAUAUCUUUCAAUUAGUGAAGACUGGAACAGAUAUUGGGAGUUGUCAAGUGAGUGUGGAUACAAGUAGAGCACCCCAGGGGUGUUCUUUCUUAACAGACAUAAAUGGUGGAUCAAGUGGCCAAUCUUUAAGCACAUGCACCAAUAAUGGAAAUAAGAAGUUCACUUGUGGACCCUAUUAUUUUACUCCAAAUGCUUGUUCACCUCCACCACCACCAAGUUCUCCACCUCCACCACCACCAAGUCCACCUCCUCCUCCUCCACCACCACCACGACUAAAAACUCCACCGCCACGACCUAGAAAACCACCACCACCACCCCCUAGAACACCACCCCUACCGCCGAACCCCCCCACACGAACUCCUCCACCACCACCCCCUAG